This 72-nucleotide transfer RNA is filed under the name Ailuropoda melanoleuca (giant panda). It matches the Rfam family "tRNA". Rfam says of the family: Transfer RNA (tRNA) molecules are approximately 80 nucleotides in length. Their secondary structure includes four short double-helical elements and three loops (D, anti-codon, and T loops). Lineage: Eukaryota; Metazoa; Chordata; Mammalia; Carnivora; Ursidae. The record is from Rfam by way of RNAcentral.
ACCUGGCUGGCUCAGUUGAAGAGCAUGUGACUCUUGAUCUUAGGGUUGUGAGUUCAAGUCCUAUGUUAGGUG